AAGCCAUGGUUGGGGCAUUGCUUUAGGAGAAUUUUAAACCUCUCCCAUACAUCCACUAGAGUCUCACCAUCCUUCUGCAUGAAGUUAGUGAUCUCACCUCUGGUUU
Molecule: small nucleolar RNA, 106 nt
Organism: Gastrolobium bilobum
Lineage: Eukaryota; Viridiplantae; Streptophyta; Magnoliopsida; Fabales; Fabaceae
Source: RefSeq, a predicted model, not a curated record